AGGACGGAGGAAGGGCAGGGCUGCUGUGCAAACCAGAAAGGACACUCCUUCCUCUGGAUAGCUUAUCAUUGGACAACGUCUUAAUUUCUAUGCAAAUAUUUGGUGAUUAUGAUGUGAGUGCUGCCCCCUGGAGUUGUGUAGCACACUUCCUGGAAGACAAGUGGGAACUCCUCAAAGGAGAGAAUGAAGGCAGCAAAAGUGCUACUGUGGGGAAUGCUCCGCAGACAUGACCUGACACAGGUUCCACCGUAGACUCUCGGAGCCGGUCAGAUAAUCUGAGAUCCCACGCUCUCUGCUGUGGCCUGGGAAAGCAGUAGAAGAUGGCCCAGGUCCUUGGGCCCCUGCAUCCAUGUGGGAGAUGAAAAGAAGCUCCUGGCUCCUGGCUUCAGAUCGGUGCAGCUCCGGCCAUUGCGGCCAUUUGGGAAGUGAACCAACAGAAGGAAGACCUUUCUCUCUAUGUCUCUCCCUCUCACUGUCUGUAAC
This is a non-coding RNA of Oryctolagus cuniculus (rabbit), 483 nucleotides long. Lineage: Eukaryota; Metazoa; Chordata; Mammalia; Lagomorpha; Leporidae. The record is from RefSeq and is a predicted model, not a curated record.